AUAUCCUCCAAUCAGCAGGCUGCGCGGGAGUUCACGGCGGAGGCGCGAGGCCACCGGCUCGCUCCACUGCGUCCAGGAACAUAGAAACGAUGAUGUGGGAACAAUCUGCCGCUGUGGUUGCUGCGGAGGGUGCAGCCCUGGUCUCACGAGAGGCUGUGUGCUCACCAUUGCCCCAUCCCAGAAGUGUAGGGGCGCCCCUGGGUGUACAGGAGUAACGCGGUUAUUUCUAGUAGGAUUGCUCUGCUUGGACCCAGGAGAGAGUGCCCCUCCACCUACGCCCUUUCUCGUCACUGGGACCUGCAGUCACCGGCUGUCUGCUGACUGAACUGGAAGGGCAGGACGCCCGCUCCUGGGGACAGUUUCGAGGUGCCCUAGGCAUGUGGCGACCCAACCCAACCCAACCUAGGCGCCAGGAUGAAGGAAAUGCCUUCUGAAGUUGAAGAUGGGAGUCUUCAGGUCAGACGCAUCAGAGCCCCAAGGCAGUGGGCGGAAGCUGAAGGCGGCCAUCUACAACUCAGACGAGAGCCUCCCCAGAGCCCAGCCACGCUAGCACCUGACUUCAGGCUGCCAGCCUCGAGCCAUGAGAGACAGAUGUCUGCUGUUCAUGAGACAUGCAGCCUGUGGUACUCUGUUAUAGCAGCCUGAAUGGACUAAGCCCAGAGUAACGCUCACACCUGUGGUCACUGGCCACCCUGCCCCCUGGCCCCUGGAGGUGUUUUCUGCAAUCAUGCUCAGGCACCUCUCCCUGAAAAAACAGUCUGAUGGUUUAUGGCUGAAGCACAGUGCAGUCAGAGAGUUAAUACUGCUCGGGACCUCAGACAGUUCGGCCUUCUCCUUGUUUGGUCUGAGAGCCAGAAAGGCAAGGCAAUCUUCCUGGGCUCACGUGGCCUGAUACUUCUUGUUUCCGUCAGCACUCUGAGGACUCGGAGGAAAGCGCCGGAAGUUCUUAGGCAAUUAUUUGGCCUUCUGCAGUGACGCCACUCCACUCCAUCCCAGCUGCCGCUCACCCACCCACAUCCCCAGCGAGCCACGCUUCCCGUAUUAUCCAAGACACCAGCCCGCCACGCACCACUUGCUUCCCUACUUGAGCGGUGCUUGAAUACUGUCACUC
Molecule: long non-coding RNA, 1111 nt
Organism: Bos taurus (domestic cattle)
Lineage: Eukaryota; Metazoa; Chordata; Mammalia; Artiodactyla; Bovidae
Source: Ensembl